RNAcentral lists this ribosomal RNA (430 nucleotides) under Fusobacteriota bacterium. RNAcentral describes it as "Fusobacteria bacterium partial 16S ribosomal RNA". It matches the Rfam family "Bacterial small subunit ribosomal RNA", at positions 355 to 776 of the family's 1533-position model. The record is from RNAcentral. Lineage: Bacteria; Fusobacteriati; Fusobacteriota.
UAGGGAAUCUUCGGCAAUGGACGCAAGUCUGACCGAGCAACGCCGCGUGAGUGAAGAAGGUUUUCGGAUCGUAAAACUCUGUUGUUAGAGAAGAACAAGGAUGAGAGUAGAAUGUUCAUCCCUUGACGGUAUCUAACCAGAAAGCCACGGCUAACUACGUGCCAGCAGCCGCGGUAAUACGUAGGUGGCAAGCGUUGUCCGGAUUUAUUGGGCGUAAAGCGAGCGCAGGCGGUUUCUUAAGUCUGAUGUGAAAGCCCCCGGCUCAACCGGGGAGGGGCAUUGGAAACUGGGAAGCUUGAGUGCAGAAGAGGGGAGUGGAAUUCCAGGUGUAGCGGUGAAAUGCGUAGAUAUAUGGAGGAACACCAGUGGCGAAGGCGGCUUCCUGGUCUGUAACUGACGCUGAGGCUCGAAAGCGUGGGGAGCAAACAGG